This 374-nucleotide ribosomal RNA is filed under the name uncultured eukaryote. RNAcentral describes it as "partial 18S ribosomal RNA". It matches the Rfam family "Eukaryotic small subunit ribosomal RNA", at positions 592 to 976 of the family's 1831-position model. The record is from RNAcentral.
CAAUAGCGUAUAUUAACGUUGUUGCAGUUAAAAAGCUCGUAGUUGAAUGUUGGUGUCGAACGAGCGGUCAGCUUCGGCUGUACUGCUCUCUCGACUCCUUCCUUCUGUGGACUACGUCGCACUUUACUGUGUGGCGCUAGGACGCAGAUCGUUUACUGUGAAAAAAUUAGAGUGUUCAAAGCAGGCCGUACGCUUGAAUACAUUAGCAUGGAAUAAUGGAAUAGGACGUCGGGCCUAUUUUGUUGGUUCUAGGACCGUCGUAAUGAUUAAUAGGGACAGUUGGGGCCGUUUAUAUUCCGUAGUCAGAGGUGAAAUUCUUGGAUUUACGGAAGAUAAACUACUGCGAAAGCAUUCGGCAAGGAUGUUUUCGUUAA